This 424-nucleotide ribosomal RNA is filed under the name uncultured bacterium. RNAcentral's name for it is "partial 16S ribosomal RNA". It matches the Rfam family "Bacterial small subunit ribosomal RNA", at positions 360 to 776 of the family's 1533-position model. The record is from RNAcentral.
AAUUUUGGACAAUGGGCGCAAGCCUGAUCCAGCAAUGCCGCGUGCAGGAUGAAGGCCCUCGGGUUGUAAACUGCUUUUGUACGGAACGAAAAGUCUUUGGUUAAUACUCUUGGAUCUUGACCGUACCGUAAGCAUAAGCACCGGCUAACUAGCCGCCCGCUGCCGCGGUAAUACGUAGGGUGCAAGCGUUAAUCGGAAUUUCUGGUCGGAAAGCGUGCGCAGGCGGUUUUGGAAGACGGUGGUGAAAUCCCCGGGCUCAACCUAGGAACUGCCAUUGUGACUGCAAGGCUGGAGUGCGGCAGAGGGGGAUGGAAUUCCGCGUGUAGCAGUGAAAUGCGUAGAUAUGCGGAGGAACACCGAUGGCGAAGGCAAUCCCCUGGGCCUGCACUGACGCUCAUACACGAAAGCGUGGGGAGCAAACAGG